RNAcentral lists this long non-coding RNA (232 nucleotides) under Carica papaya (papaya). Its description in RNAcentral is "long non-coding RNA (CPAP_LNC009211)". The record is from RNAcentral. Lineage: Eukaryota; Viridiplantae; Streptophyta; Magnoliopsida; Brassicales; Caricaceae.
UUUGGUGGUCGGAAAUUGCUCCGGUACAGCAACGGGUGGCGGCGGUCGGCUCCCCGGCGGCUGGGCUGUCUUCUCCGGCGAGGGGCUCUGGUGGCUAGGGUUUGGGUUUGGGUGCGGAUGAGGUUAUUUAUACUCAUCCGUUUUUGAUAUGGGUAAUCCAUCACUUUUAAUUUAAACCGUUCGAUCACAAUUAAAUAGGGAGCGAAUCUGGACCGUUCAUCGCGAUUCAAUC